AAAGAUCUGAAUAUAGGACAGGAGAGUUGAGGAAGAUUCAGAGAAAGAUAACGAGCAAUCGAAACUUCUAGUACACAUCUUCCUUGGUCGUUUAGCACGAAAAAUACGAUGACAAGCACAAAUCGAGUAAUCAAAAGUCCAAGAAACAGCCCACGGGGCUCUUUUCGAUGUAUCUCACGACUUAAUUUGAUCAUGGAAAGUGCUAUAGGUUUUCAUCUCUGCUCAUCCAACAUCACCUUGCAACAUGGAAUGAAAAACGAAUUGGGUGAAGCUUUUAAAUUACAAAAAAUCACGAUGUGUACUCAAAUGCAGGUGGGGGCUGAGGCUCCUCAUCAACAGCCAUUGCUGAUGCCG
Molecule: unclassified non-coding RNA, 354 nt
Filed under: Hevea brasiliensis (rubber tree)
Lineage: Eukaryota; Viridiplantae; Streptophyta; Magnoliopsida; Malpighiales; Euphorbiaceae
Source: RNAcentral